RNAcentral lists this ribosomal RNA (460 nucleotides) under uncultured bacterium. RNAcentral's name for it is "partial 16S ribosomal RNA". It matches the Rfam family "Bacterial small subunit ribosomal RNA", at positions 338 to 795 of the family's 1533-position model. The record is from RNAcentral.
CCUACGGGAGGCAGCAGUGAGGAAUAUUGGUCAAUGGACGAGAGUCUGAACCAGCCAAGUAGCGUGAAGGAUGACUGCCCUAUGGGUUGUAAACUUCUUUUAUCAAGGAAUAAAACGCGGCACGUGUGCCUUUUUGCAUGUACUUUACGAAUAAGGCUAGGCUAACUCCGUGGCAGCCGCCGCGGUAAUACGGAGUAUCAGAGCGUUAGCCGGAUUUAUUGGGUUUAAAGGGAGCGUAGAUGGGUUGUUAAGUCAGUUGUGAAAGUUUGCGGCUCAACCGUAAAAUUGCAAUUGAUACUGGCAGUCUUGAGUACAGUUGAGGUAGGCGGAAUUCGUGGUGUAGCGGUGAAAUGCUUAGAUAUCACGAAGAACCCCGAUUGCGAAGGCAGCUUACUAAACUGUGACUGACAUUGAUGCUCGAAAGUGUGGGUAUCAAACAGGAUUAGAUACCCCAGUAGUC